Molecule: ribosomal RNA, 542 nt
Filed under: uncultured bacterium
Lineage: Bacteria
Description: partial 16S ribosomal RNA
Rfam family: Bacterial small subunit ribosomal RNA
Source: RNAcentral
UGGGGAAUAUUGGACAAUGGGGGCAACCCUGAUCCAGCCAUGCCGCGUGAGUGAUGAAGGCCUUAGGGUUGUAAAGCUCUUUCACCCGGGACGAUAAUGACGGUACCGGGAGAAGAAGCCCCGGCUAACUUCGUGCCAGCAGCCGCGGUAAUACGAAGGGGGCUAGCGUUGUUCGGAAUCACUGGGCGUAAAGCGCACGUAGGCGGACCGUUAAGUCGGAGGUGAAAUCCUGGGGCUCAACCCCAGAACUGCCUUCGAUACUGGCGGUCUCGAGUCCGGAAGAGGUGAGUGGAACUGCCAGUGUAGAGGUGAAAUUCGUAGAUAUCGGCAAGAACACCAGUGGCGAAGGCGGCUCACUGGUCCGGUACUGACGCUGAGGUGCGAAAGCGUAGGGAGCAAACAGGAUUAGAUACCCUGGUAGUCCACGCCGUAAACGAUGAAUGCCAGCCGUCGGGCAGCAUGCUGUUCGGUGGCGCAGCUAACGCUUUAAGCAUUCCGCCUGGGGGAGUACGGUCGCAAGAUUAAAACUCAAAUGAAUUGAC